Molecule: ribosomal RNA, 253 nt
Filed under: uncultured bacterium
Lineage: Bacteria
Description: partial 16S ribosomal RNA
Rfam family: Bacterial small subunit ribosomal RNA
Source: RNAcentral
UACGAAGGGGGCUAGCGUUGCUCGGAAUCACUGGGCGUAAAGCGCACGUAGGCGGCUUGCUAGGUCAGGGGUGAAAUCCUGGAGCUCAACUCCAGAACUGCCUUUGAUACUGGCGACCUUGAGUCCGGGAGAGGUGAGUGGAACUGCGAGUGUAGAGGUGAAAUUCGUAGAUAUUCGCAAGAGCACCAGUGGCGAAGGCGGCUCACUGGCCCGGUACUGACGCUGAGGUGCGAAAGCGUGGGGAGCAAACAGG